Molecule: ribosomal RNA, 840 nt
Filed under: Halomonas sp.
Lineage: Bacteria; Pseudomonadati; Pseudomonadota; Gammaproteobacteria; Oceanospirillales; Halomonadaceae
Description: bacterial SSU rRNA
Rfam family: Bacterial small subunit ribosomal RNA
Source: RNAcentral
AUGCAGUCGAGCGGUAACAGAUCCAGCUUGCUGGAUGCUGACGAGCGGCGGACGGGUGAGUAAUGCAUAGGAAUCUGCCCGAUAGUGGGGGAUAACCUGGGGAAACCCAGGCUAAUACCGCAUACGUCCUACGGGAGAAAGGGGGCUCCGGCUCCCGCUAUGGGAUGAGCCUAUGUCGGAUUAGCUAGUUGGUGAGGUAACGGCUCACCAAGGCCACGAUCCGUAGCUGGUCUGAGAGGAUGAUCAGCCACAUCGGGACUGAGACACGGCCCGAACUCCUACGGGAGGCAGCAGUGGGGAAUAUUGGACAAUGGGGGAAACCCUGAUCCAGCCAUGCCGCGUGUGUGAAGAAGGCCCUCGGGUUGUAAAGCACUUUCAGCGAGGAAGAACGCCUAGCGGUUAAUACCCGCUAGGAAAGACAUCACUCGCAGAAGAAGCACCGGCUAACUCCGUGCCAGCAGCCGCGGUAAUACGGAGGGUGCAAGCGUUAAUCGGAAUUACUGGGCGUAAAGCGCGCGUAGGUGGCUUGAUAAGCCGGUUGUGAAAGCCCCGGGCUCAACCUGGGAACGGCAUCCGGAACUGUCAAGCUAGAGUGCAGGAGAGGAAGGUAGAAUUCCCGGUGUAGCGGUGAAAUGCGUAGAGAUCGGGAGGAAUACCAGUGGCGAAGGCGGCCUUCUGGACUGACACUGACACUGAGGUGCGAAAGCGUGGGUAGCAAACAGGAUUAGAUACCCUGGUAGUCCACGCCGUAAACGAUGUCGACCAGCCGUUGGGUGCCUAGCGCACUUUGUGGCGAAGUUAACGCGAUAAGUCGACCGCCUGGGGAGUACGGCCGCAAGG